This 492-nucleotide ribosomal RNA is filed under the name uncultured bacterium. Its description in RNAcentral is "partial 16S ribosomal RNA". It matches the Rfam family "Bacterial small subunit ribosomal RNA", at positions 29 to 507 of the family's 1533-position model. The record is from RNAcentral.
AGUGAACGCUGGCGGUAGGCCUAACACAUGCAAGUCGAACGGCAGCACAGUAAGAGCUUGCUCUUACGGGUGGCGAGUGGCGGACGGGUGAGGAAUACAUCGGAAUCUACUUUUUCGUGGGGGAUAACGUAGGGAAACUUACGCUAAUACCGCAUACGACCUACGGGUGAAAGCAGGGGAUCUUCGGACCUUGCGCGAUUGAAUGAGCCGAUGUCGGAUUAGCUAGUUGGCGGGGUAAAGGCCCACCAAGGCGACGAUCCGUAGCUGGUCUGAGAGGAUGAUCAGCCACACUGGAACUGAGACACGGUCCAGACUCCUACGGGAGGCAGCAGUGGGGAAUAUUGGACAAUGGGCGCAAGCCUGAUCCAGCCAUACCGCGUGGGUGAAGAAGGCCUUCGGGUCGUAAAGCCCUUUUGUUUGGAAAGAAAAGCAGCAGGUUAAUACCCCGCUGUUCUGACGGUACCCAAAGAAUAAGCACCGGCUAACUUCGUG